UACGAAGGGGGCUAGCGUUGCCCGGAAUCACUGGGCGUAAAGCGCACGUAGGCGGAUCGAUCAGUCAGGGGUGAAAUCCCAGGGCUCAACCCUGGAACUGCCUUUGAUACUGUCGAUCUGGAGUAUGGAAGAGGUGAGUGGAAUUCCGAGUGUAGAGGUGAAAUUCGUAGAUAUUCGGAGGAACACCAGUGGCGAAGGCGGCUCACUGGUCCAUUACUGACGCUGAGGUGCGAAAGCGUGGGGAGCAAACAGG
This 253-nucleotide ribosomal RNA is filed under the name uncultured bacterium. Its description in RNAcentral is "partial 16S ribosomal RNA". It matches the Rfam family "Bacterial small subunit ribosomal RNA", at positions 524 to 776 of the family's 1533-position model. The record is from RNAcentral.